UACGGAGGGGGCUAGCGUUGUUCGGAAUUACUGGGCGUAAAGCGCGCGUAGGCGGACCUGCAAGUCGGGGGUGAAAGCCCGAGGCUCAACCUCGGAACUGCCUUCGAUACUGCGGGUCUCGAGUCCGGGAGAGGUGAGUGGAAUUCCUAGUGUAGAGGUGAAAUUCGUAGAUAUUAGGAAGAACACCAGUGGCGAAGGCGGCUCACUGGCUCGGUACUGACGCUGAGGCG
This 230-nucleotide ribosomal RNA is filed under the name uncultured bacterium. RNAcentral describes it as "partial 16S ribosomal RNA". It matches the Rfam family "Bacterial small subunit ribosomal RNA", at positions 524 to 753 of the family's 1533-position model. The record is from RNAcentral.